UGGUAGGAAACGAGGAAUUUGUGAGUGGUUUCGGCCCACUUUUUGAUGCCUGAUGAUGGCGUCCCUAUUAG
Molecule: transfer RNA, 71 nt
Filed under: Diodora graeca
Lineage: Eukaryota; Metazoa; Mollusca; Gastropoda; Lepetellida; Fissurellidae
Description: tRNA-Arg
Source: RNAcentral